UUUUUUGAAUUGUAAGGAGAUUUCAUUAUGCGGGUCGAAAAGGUACAAUGCGGAAUAUCGCAAUAAGUCGACUGUGGUAUAUUUUCUGCUGUUACAUUGAAAAAUAGAUAAGUAUAUUUUUAUAUAUUUUUGUUAUAACUCCAUUUGCCUAUUAUGGUUAGAUGGACUUCAACAUCAAACGAGCAUAAAUAAUCUCUUAAAUUGAUUAAGUGUCUGUUUCGCAACGGAUCUUUGUAUGAAUUAGGUCAAAUUAGAUUGUUUGGAUGUGUGUUACUAGGUGGCUUUUAAAUCACAUGCUUUUGUGCUGAAGUUCAAAUUAGAGCGAAAAUGGAAGGGAGUUGUGCAGCAGCUUGCUGAGAAACUGCUUUUCUAUCUGUGUUUUGAAUGGGUUGUUUAGUAUUGAGCCCCAUCUAAUAGUGGUAGACAAAACGAAGUUGAGAUAAAAGUGUACAAGAAUAUAAUUUCCGGUUUUUCAGUAACACUAUAAAAAAAUAUAUCAUAAUCCACUUAUUAUAAUGCGCAGAAUGUGAUAUAUUGUACGAAUAUAUAUAUAUAUUAUACUAUACUUUUUCACCGUA
This 578-nucleotide long non-coding RNA is filed under the name Ananas comosus (pineapple). RNAcentral's name for it is "long non-coding RNA (ACOM_LNC000132)". The record is from RNAcentral. Lineage: Eukaryota; Viridiplantae; Streptophyta; Magnoliopsida; Poales; Bromeliaceae.